RNAcentral lists this ribozyme (116 nucleotides) under Aedes aegypti (yellow fever mosquito). RNAcentral describes it as "drz-agam-1 ribozyme". It matches the Rfam family "drz-agam-1 ribozyme". Lineage: Eukaryota; Metazoa; Arthropoda; Insecta; Diptera; Culicidae. The record is from Rfam by way of RNAcentral.
UGCCCAGCAACUCCAAUCCCUACCUCCUCGCAGUACUGGCCGAGAUACAAGUAACCUUAGGGAAUAUCAGGUAACCAACCCUGGUGGGAACUCUGGUCGUAUGCUGACAGGAAAGG